RNAcentral lists this ribosomal RNA (253 nucleotides) under uncultured bacterium. RNAcentral's name for it is "partial 16S ribosomal RNA". It matches the Rfam family "Bacterial small subunit ribosomal RNA", at positions 524 to 776 of the family's 1533-position model. The record is from RNAcentral.
UACAGAGGUGGCAAGCGUUGUUCGGAAUUACUGGGCGUAAAGGGCGCGUAGGCGGCUUGGUCAGUCCCGUGUGAAAUCCCUCGGCUCAACUGAGGAACUGCACGGGAAACUGCCUGGCUUGAGUUCGGGAGAGGGAAGCGGAAUUCCGGGUGUAGCGGUGAAAUGCGUAGAUAUCCGGAGGAACACCGGUGGCGAAGGCGGCAUCCUGGACCGGCAUUGACGCUGAGGAGCGAAAGCCAGGGGAGCAAACGGG